Molecule: small nucleolar RNA, 95 nt
Organism: Dioscorea cayenensis subsp. rotundata (Guinea yam)
Lineage: Eukaryota; Viridiplantae; Streptophyta; Magnoliopsida; Dioscoreales; Dioscoreaceae
Product: small nucleolar RNA Z266
Exons: 1
Source: RefSeq, a predicted model, not a curated record
UACUGGCAGGAAUAAUGAAAUUGAUUAGAUGUGCGAAGGGGAUGCUCUCUAAUGAGCAAACAUUUGAGGCUUAUUUAUAUUCUGACCUGCAAACA